CCUACGGGAGGCAGCAGUGAGGAAUAUUGGUCAAUGGCCGGAAGGCUGAACCAGCCAUGCCGCGUGAAGGUCAGUGCCCUAUGGGCGUUAAACUUCUUUUGUGCGGGAGCAAUAAUGGUCACGUGUGGCCAGACGAGAGUACCGUACGAAUAAGCAUCGGCUAAAUCCGUGCCAGCGGCCGCGGUAAUACGGGGGAUGCAAGCGUUAUCCGGAUUUAUUGGGUUUAAAGGGUGCGUAGGCUGUGAGGUAAGUCAGCGGGGGAAUGCCCGCGCUCAACGGGGUGAAGUGCCAUUGAUACUGCCUGGCUGGAAUGCGGAUGCCGUGGGAGGAAUGUGUGGUGUAGCGGUGAAAUGCAUAGAUAUCA
RNAcentral lists this ribosomal RNA (364 nucleotides) under uncultured bacterium. Its description in RNAcentral is "partial 16S ribosomal RNA". It matches the Rfam family "Bacterial small subunit ribosomal RNA", at positions 338 to 699 of the family's 1533-position model. The record is from RNAcentral.